Molecule: ribosomal RNA, 294 nt
Filed under: uncultured bacterium
Lineage: Bacteria
Description: partial 16S ribosomal RNA
Rfam family: Archaeal small subunit ribosomal RNA
Source: RNAcentral
GUGCCGAGCCGCCGCGGUAAUACCGGCAGCUCAAGUGAUGUCCCAUAUUAUUGGGCCUAAAGCGUCCGUAGCUGGCUGCGCAAGUCCGUCGGGAAAUCCACUCGCCCAACGAGUGGGCGUCCGACGGAAACUGCACAGCUUGGGACCGGAAGGCUCGAAGGGUACGUUCGGGGUAGGAGUGAAAUCCCAUAAUCCCGCACGGACCACCGAUGGCGAAAGCACUUCGAGAAAACGGAUCCGUCAGUGAGGGACGAAAGCCAGGGUCUCCAACCGGAUUAGAUACCCGGGUAGUCC